This 497-nucleotide ribosomal RNA is filed under the name uncultured bacterium. Its description in RNAcentral is "partial 16S ribosomal RNA". It matches the Rfam family "Bacterial small subunit ribosomal RNA", at positions 28 to 507 of the family's 1533-position model. The record is from RNAcentral.
GAUGAACGCUGGCGGCGUGCCUAAUACAUGCAAGUCGAGCGAACGGACGAGAAGCUUGCUUCUCUGAUGUUAGCGGCGGACGGGUGAGUAACACGUGGAUAACCUACCUAUAAGACUGGGAUAACUUCGGGAAACCGGAGCUAAUACCGGAUAAUAUUUUGAACCGCAUGGUUCGAAAGUGAAAGACGGUCUUGCUGUCACUUAUAGAUGGAUCCGCGCUGCAUUAGCUAGUUGGUAAGGUAACGGCUUACCAAGGCAACGAUGCAUAGCCAACCUGAGAGGGUGAUCGGCCACACUGGAACUGAGACACGGUCCAGACUCCUACGGGAGGCAGCAGUAGGGAAUCUUCCGCAAUGGGCGAAAGCCUGACGGAGCAACGCCGCGUGAGUGAUGAAGGUCUUCGGAUCGUAAAACUCUGUUAUUAGGGAAGAACAUAUGUGUAAGUAACUGUGCACAUCUUGACGGUACCUAAUCAGAAAGCCACGGCUAACUACGUG